Long non-coding RNA from Arabidopsis thaliana (thale cress), 248 nucleotides. RefSeq annotates it as other RNA. The transcript has a single exon. Lineage: Eukaryota; Viridiplantae; Streptophyta; Magnoliopsida; Brassicales; Brassicaceae. The record is from RefSeq.
AAACCAUCAUCAUCCAUAUUCCCCUGCGCAGUACACAAGAUUGAUUGACCACUGGACCGACGUAGGAAAACCAAAACAAAAAAUCAUGGUGUCUCAAAAUAAAAGUUAAGUAUCUAUAAGAGAGGAGGGAAUCAGGAGGCUUAUCUGACCUUACUUAACUAGCGUUGUUUAUAAUGCAUAUACAAGUGGAAAAGUUUCAGAGAAUGAGUUUGAUGAAUGAACUUACAGUGACCACCAUUGGAGCAAAA